UGUGCCCUACGGGAGGCAGCAGUGAGGAAUAUUGGUCAAUGGUCGGGAGACUGAACCAGCCAAGCCGCGUGAGGGAGGAAGGUACAGAGUAUCGUAAACCUCUUUUGUCAGGGAACAAAGACUGGGACGCGUCCCCGGAUGAGUGUACCUGAAGAAAAAGCAUCGGCUAACUCCGUGCCAGCAGCCGCGGUAAUACGGAGGAUGCGAGCGUUAUCCGGAUUUAUUGGGUUUAAAGGGUGCGCAGGCGGUCUGUUAAGUCAGCGGUCAAAGCCCGGGGCUCAACCCCGGCCCGCCGUUGAAACUGG
This 305-nucleotide ribosomal RNA is filed under the name uncultured bacterium. Its description in RNAcentral is "bacterial SSU rRNA". It matches the Rfam family "Bacterial small subunit ribosomal RNA", at positions 333 to 636 of the family's 1533-position model. The record is from RNAcentral.